GUGAGCUGGCGGACGGCUUCGGACCGCACGGGUCUGAGGAAACUCCGCCCUACACCGCAGCCUUGCAACGCCUGCAAAGGCGUAGGGCGAGAGCCCUGGCAACAGAGCAGAAACGGAACGUCCACGAGACGCGUGGCGAGGAGGCAUGCUAAGUUGCCGAGGACGUCUCGUGGAAGCGUUGAAACGGCUGUCCUGCAAGGUAGAAAGGGCAAAUAGGCGUCGAUGACGAGCUGCGGGGAGACGCGGGUAGCCCGAUUAGAUGAAUGCCGUCUCUGAACAGAAGGCGGGUUACGACCAGCACAC
This 303-nucleotide RNase P RNA is filed under the name Candidatus Bathyarchaeota archaeon. RNAcentral's name for it is "RNase P RNA component". It matches the Rfam family "Archaeal RNase P". Rfam says of the family: Ribonuclease P (RNase P) is a ubiquitous endoribonuclease, found in archaea, bacteria and eukarya as well as chloroplasts and mitochondria. Its best characterised activity is the generation of mature 5'-ends of tRNAs by cleaving the 5'-leader elements of precursor-tRNAs. The record is from RNAcentral. Lineage: Archaea; Thermoproteati; Candidatus Bathyarchaeota.